RNAcentral lists this ribosomal RNA (253 nucleotides) under uncultured bacterium. RNAcentral's name for it is "partial 16S ribosomal RNA". It matches the Rfam family "Bacterial small subunit ribosomal RNA", at positions 524 to 776 of the family's 1533-position model. The record is from RNAcentral.
UACGAAGGGGGCUAGCGUUGCUCGGAAUCACUGGGCGUAAAGCGCACGUAGGCGGAUUGCUAAGUCAGGGGUGAAAUCCUGGAGCUCAACUCCAGAACUGCCUUUGAUACCGGCGAUCUUGAGUCCGGGAGAGGUGAGUGGAACUGCGAGUGUAGAGGUGAAAUUCGUAGAUAUUCGCAAGAACACCAGUGGCGAAGGCGGCUCACUGGCCCGGUACUGACGCUGAGGUGCGAAAGCGUGGGGAGCAAACAGG